Molecule: long non-coding RNA, 1693 nt
Organism: Nilaparvata lugens (brown planthopper)
Lineage: Eukaryota; Metazoa; Arthropoda; Insecta; Hemiptera; Delphacidae
Exons: 3
Source: RefSeq, a predicted model, not a curated record
AAAACAAAUGAUUGUUCAAGUACGACAGAGCUGCCAAAAUCCAUGUAUGCAAAAAUAUGCAAGUGUAGUCCAACAAUGAUUGUCAUCAUGAUUUGUCAGUUAAUGAUAGCUUCGAAUGCGGGCAGACUUGAUUGGAUUCAAGCCUGUAUAACCGUGCUGCCUCUACUCUACACUGUGAUGUGAACUCUGCCAGGCUGCCAGCGGAAAUAUUGAAUUGUUUGAUUGGUGUUUGCGUUGCUCGAGCCGUUUGAUGCGUGACCUCCACUCUCAAACGGAACGCUACAAGGCGACAGUCAGCGCUAAACGCCUACAAUAUUGAGGUCUUCGUUGGAGGCUUGUCGCAGAUUGAGAGACGACGUAACCUGACGUGACAUGAGUCUGCUAGAUGUCAUAUUAUUAUACUAUGAAAUGAAGCUAGCACGUGAAACUCAUCAGUUGUGAAAGAAACACUGCUAGAAACAGAAGCAGUUGGAUACAUCGAAAGAAACUAUCAAAUCAACUCAUAACCAUUCGAGUACAGAUGAUAUCGUAGAAUACGAAUAGCAUUUAUCCAAUAAUAUUUCUCUACCAAAUUACAUUAUCACUAGAUGGAAAAUUUGACCCCGAUCAUUAAUAUCAUUAAUUAAUUUGCUAUCGAGCGACGACACGCCACGAGCUAAUCAGCGAACAAUUUGUUAACAGUGAGUGAGUGAGUGAGUGAGGGAGAGAGUGGUCGCAAGUCAGGUGCCAACCGGAUGCGCCCGGCCAACUGAUUAUUAUUAUUAUUACUAUUUGGUGAGUGUGUGUGCGGUAAUUCGACUGUGGGAAAGUGCCGCCGCAGCGGCGCACGUUGUUAGCGAGUGUGCGCUUGUGCGCGUGUGUGCAUGUCUGUAUGCUCAACACGUGCUCAACGCGAGCUGUCGGCAGCCGUGGGAACGCCAAGCCACGCUCCGAUGAUUUGGCCCCUCAGGAAUGCCUUCAUCUUCCCCUCCCCCAACCUUCUCCACUCGGCGACAGCUAACCGCCAACCACCUGACGCUUACAUACACACACACACACACACACACACACACACACACACACAAACGACAUAAAGUCACUCACUCUUCCUCAAUAAUAAACCGACACAAGAUCUCCUCCACCUCCUCCUCAUCCACCUCCGAAGCCAAAGUAGUUUACGCCUCUCGUCACCACCAGCAACCAGCAAGGGACACGAAACAAUAAAAAAGGGACCCACAACUAAUGCGUUCACUUGUGCUCCAAAUUGCCUUUAUGCCAUAGUAUGGAGGUCGUGUUUGAUUUACUUUUUUGGGCGCACCAAGAUCUACAUAUCCGCUAGUUGAAGAUUUGUUGUUGAUUUUUUAGUGUUGGAGGUUGAAUGAGAGAAUACUUUGAUGAUUAAAUUUCUUUAUGGUAAAGUUUUAUUUUGGUGCAGUAUCGACUGAACUGAGAAAAUUUAUCUGAUCAAUCAAUUAUUGAUAUUUGUUGAUCGAUUAGUAUAAUAGUUAUGUGUAUAAAUUCAUUCAUUUGUCUUUACCUUGUAAUUUAUUUUACUGCCAGCAUAAUAUUACAAAAUAAUAUUUUAUAAAUGUAUGAAUUUAAACAAUAUUCCCAUGAAAUGAAUAAUUCCACACAAUAAAUUCUAUCUCUAUUUCAUUUAUGAUAGUAAAUAUAAUUUGAGUAGCAAAAGUCUUAUUAUCAUAUUAUCUACUUG